Molecule: ribosomal RNA, 333 nt
Filed under: uncultured Dactylosporangium sp.
Lineage: Bacteria; Bacillati; Actinomycetota; Actinomycetes; Micromonosporales; Micromonosporaceae
Description: bacterial SSU rRNA
Rfam family: Bacterial small subunit ribosomal RNA
Source: RNAcentral
UGGCUCAGAACGAACGCUGGCGGCGUGCUUAACACAUGCAAGUCGAGCGGAAAGGCCCUUCGGGGUACUCGAGCGGCGAACGGGUGAGUAACACGUGAGUAACCUGCCCUUGGCUUUGGGAUAACCCUCGGAAACGGGGGCUAAUACCGGAUAUUCAUGCUCGACGGCAUCGUCGGGUGUGGAAAGUUUUUCGGCUUGGGAUGGGCUCGCGGCCUAUCAGCUUGUUGGUGGGGUGAUGGCCUACCAAGGCGACGACGGGUAGCCGGCCUGAGAGGGCGACCGGCCACACUGGGACUGAGACACGGCCCAGACUCCUACGGGAGGCAGCAGUGG